UACGUAGGGGGCUAGCGUUGUCCGGAUUUAUUGGGCGUAAAGAGCGUGUAGGCGGCCAGGUAGGUCUGCUGUGAAAACUCGAGGCUCAACCUCGAGACGUCGGCGGAAACCUCUGGCUAGAGUCCGGGAGAGGAGGGUGGAAUUCCCAGUGUAGCGGUGAAAUGCGUAGAUAGUUGGGAGGAACACCGGUGGCGAAGGCGGCCCUCUGGACCGGUACUGACGCUGAUGCGCGAAAGCGUGGGGAGCAAACGGG
This 253-nucleotide ribosomal RNA is filed under the name uncultured bacterium. RNAcentral's name for it is "partial 16S ribosomal RNA". It matches the Rfam family "Bacterial small subunit ribosomal RNA", at positions 524 to 776 of the family's 1533-position model. The record is from RNAcentral.